This 497-nucleotide ribosomal RNA is filed under the name uncultured bacterium. RNAcentral describes it as "partial 16S ribosomal RNA". It matches the Rfam family "Bacterial small subunit ribosomal RNA", at positions 28 to 507 of the family's 1533-position model. The record is from RNAcentral.
GAUGAACGCUGGCGGCGUGCCUAAUACAUGCCAGUCGAGCGAACGGACGAGAAGCUUGCUUCUCUGAUGUUAGCGGCGGACGGGUGUGUAACACGUGGAUAACCUACCCGUAAGACUGGGAUAACUUCGGGAAACCGUAGCUAAUACCGGAUAAUAUUUUGAACCGCAUGGUUCAAAAGUGAAAGACGGUCUUGCGGUCACUUAUAGAUGGAUCCGCGCUGCAUUAGCUAGUUGGUAAGGUAACGGCUUACCAAGGCAACGAUGCAUAGCCGACCUGAGAGGGGGAUCGGCCGCACUGGAACUGGGACACGGUCCAGGCUCCUACGGGAGGCAGCAGUAGGGAAUCUUACGCAAUGGGCGAAAGCCUGACGGAGCAACGCUGCGUGAGUGAUGAAGGUCUUCGGAUCGUAAAACUCUGUUAUUAGGGAAGAACAUAUGUGUAAGUAACUGUGCACAUCUUGACGGUACCUAGUCAGAAAGCCACGGCUAACUACGUG